AAUGAACGCUGGCGGCAUGCCUAACACAUGCAAGUCGAACGAAGGCUUCGGCCUUAGUGGCGCACGGGUGCGUAACGCGUGGGAAUCUGCCCCUUGGUUCGGAAUGACAGUUAGAAAUGACUGCUAAUACCGGAUGAUGACGUAAGUCCAAAGAUUUAUCGCCGAGGGAUGAGCCCGCGUAGGAUUAGCUAGUUGGUGUGGUAAGAGCGCACCAAGGCGACGAUCCUUAGCUGGUCUGAGAGGAUGAUCAGCCACACUGGGACUGAGACACGGCCCAGACUCCUACGGGAGGCAGCAGUGGGGAAUAUUGGACAAUGGGCGAAAGCCUGAUCCAGCAAUGCCGCGUGAGUGAUGAAGGCCUUAGGGUUGUAAAGCUCUUUUACCCGGGAUGAUAAUGACAGUACCGGGAGAAUAAGCUCCGGCUAACUCCGUG
RNAcentral lists this ribosomal RNA (433 nucleotides) under uncultured bacterium. Its description in RNAcentral is "partial 16S ribosomal RNA". It matches the Rfam family "Bacterial small subunit ribosomal RNA", at positions 29 to 507 of the family's 1533-position model. The record is from RNAcentral.